Molecule: ribosomal RNA, 253 nt
Filed under: uncultured bacterium
Lineage: Bacteria
Description: partial 16S ribosomal RNA
Rfam family: Bacterial small subunit ribosomal RNA
Source: RNAcentral
CACGUAGGGCGCAAGCGUUGUCCGGAAUUAUUGGGCGUAAAGAGCUCGUAGGUGGUUUGUUACGUCUGCUGUGAAAACCUAGGGCUUAACCCUGGGCUUGCAGUGGAUACGGGCAGACUAGAGGUAGGUAGGGGAGAAUGGAAUUCCUGGUGUAGCGGUGAAAUGCGCAGAUAUCAGGAGGAACACCAAUGGCGAAGGCAGCUCGCUGGGACGGUACUGACGCUGAGACGCGAAAGCGUGGGGAGCAAACAGG